Molecule: ribosomal RNA, 1289 nt
Filed under: Semidalis aleyrodiformis
Lineage: Eukaryota; Metazoa; Arthropoda; Insecta; Neuroptera; Coniopterygidae
Description: 16S ribosomal RNA
Source: RNAcentral
UUAUUUAUAAAUUUAUAUUUUUAAUUUUUUUAUUUAAUAAAAAUAAUUUUUAAUUUUUAGUAAUUUUUAAUGAAAAAAUAUAUUUAUAUAUAGAAAAUAAGUAUAGUUAUAGAAUUUAUUUUUAUUUUAUAAGUAAAAUUGAUUUUUUGUACCUUUUGUAUCAGGGAUUAUUAAAAAUAUUUUAUUAAUUAAAAUUUCUCGAUUUUAUAAGAGAUAAAAUUAUAUGUAUCUUUUUGUUGAAUAACAAUUUAUUAUAUAAUUUUUGUUGUUAAAAGUUAUUCGUUUAUAAAUAUAUCUGGUUUUAAAAGAAUUUAAUUUAAUUUGUUUAAUUAAUUAUAAAUUUUAUUAUUAAUAAUUUUUUUAUAUUAUUUAAAUAAAAAUUUUAGGGAUUAGCUUGAAAUUUUCAUUUAUAAUUUAUUUAUGAGUAAAAUAAUUGUAGGAUUAGAAAUUUUUAUCAAUUAAAAUAGUGUUAUUAUUUAUAUUUUAUUUUAUAAAAUUUAUUUUUAUUUUUAAUUAAUUUAUUUUAAAUUUUAUUUUAAUUUUUAAAUAAAGUUAUAAUGAUAAUAUUAGUAUUAAUAUAUUUAUUAAGUUUUAUUUUAUAAAGAUUAUAAAAAGGAAUUCGGCAAAUUUUAUAUUCACCUGUUUAUCAAAAACAUGUCUUUUUGAUUAUAAUUUAAAGUCAGGCCUGCCCACUGAUUUAUUGAAGGGCCGCAGUAUAUUGACUGUGCUAAGGUAGCAUAAUCAUUUGUUUUUUAAUUGAAAACUGGAAUGAAAGGUUAAAUGAAAUAUAAACUGUCUUUUUAUAAAAAAAUUAAAAAUUUAAAUUUUAAAUUAAAAUGUUUAAAUUAAUAUAAAAGACGAGAAGACCCUAUAGAUCUUUAUAAUUAUUUUUAAAUAAUAAUUUAAAUAUAUAAAUUUAAUUUUUAAAUAAAUUAUUUAAUUGGGGUGAUUUAAAAAUUUAUUAAACUUUUUAAUAAUAUAACCAAUUUAAUUGAUAUUUUGAUCCAUUGUUUAUGAUUAAUAGAUUAAGUUACCUUAGGGAUAACAGCGUAAUUUUUUUGGGGAGUUCAUAUCUAUAAAAAAGAUUGCGACCUCGAUGUUGAAUUAAAGUUAGUUUUAGGAGUAGAAAUUUAAAAUUUUAGUCUGUUCGACUAUUUAACUUUACAUGAUUUGAGUUCAGACCGGCGUGAGCCAGGUUAGUUUCUAUCUUUAUUUAAUUAAAAUAUUUUAGUACGAAAGGACCAUAUAUUUUAAAUAUUUUAUUUAUUAUAUAGACUAUUAAUAAUUUU